This 77-nucleotide transfer RNA is filed under the name Mesoptychia ussuriensis. Its description in RNAcentral is "partial tRNA-Leu". Lineage: Eukaryota; Viridiplantae; Streptophyta; Jungermanniopsida; Jungermanniales; Jungermanniaceae. The record is from RNAcentral.
UCGAAAUCGGUAGACGCUACGGACUCGAAAAUCCGUUGGCUUUUUAGACCGUGAGGGUUCAAGUCCCUCUACCCCCA